AGACAAUAUUGGUCCUUUGUGUCUGGCUGACUUCACUCAGCAUAAUGCUUUCCAGACUGUCUCUGAGAAGACGAGAUCAGGACACAGACGCCAACAAAAAAGACCAUGUGAAGACGCGGGAGGAAGACGGCCACCUGCAAGCCGCGAGAGAGGACUCAGAAGAAACCAACCCUUUUAACACCCUGAUCUGGGCCUCCCAGUGCCCAGAACUGUGAGAGAACAAAUUUCUCUUGUUUAAGCCCCACAGUCUGUGGUCCUUAGUGAUGGAGCCCGAGCUGCUCUAGGCCUUCUAAUUCUAGAACAUCGAAUUCUUCCCAGUUAGGAACAAAUACAGUAGCAAACAUUCCUGUGCAUGUUGACAGUGGAAGUCUAAGGAGCUUGUGGACAGCCUGAAACUAUGUUCUGUCCUGAAUUUGGGCAGGUUUUCUGUUUCACCCCCAGAAGCUCCAAGAUUUGUCUGUGUUGGGGGUGUUCACGGGUGUUAAGAGCUGGGACUUUUGUUUUCACCCCUGACCUCUCCCUGAGCUUCCCUCCCACCCACGGGUCACUGUCUCCAUCGGCUCGGCGGGGGUCACAACCCGAUAGUGGGCUGCAUCUGAGCUGGCCGCGGCCCACAGCCUGUCUUUCCUCUCACGGUCCUCUGCGGUCGCUGCUCCAGUGGGAGGGAAGUCAGGGGCAGCGAAAGGCCACGUCCUCCCAGCUCCAUUUGUGACUGGACGAGCGGACCGCACCGUGUGAGUCAGCCUGUUGUGGAAGCGUCUGAGAGUCAUUGCUCUGACUGUGCUGACGAAGCACAGAGAAGAAGGAAGGCCUGACCCCUGCCAGCCCGGAUGUUCCCUGAGGGCCUCUUGCUCUUCUCCACACUGUGGCCAGAGGCCUCUGUCACAGGCAUUAAUCUGGGCUUGUCUGUGUCCUGCCUAACAGCUUCAGGAGGAAGUCACCCUGUGCCCCAGCGCCGAGGCCUGCCCUCUGGAACUUGUCUCUUUGAGGUCCUCACCACGCCUCCAGCCCUGGGCUGGGCCAGGACACCCGGCUCUGUAUUCUCACAGCUCUUGCUCCCCUGACCUUAACACUCAUCCCAGCUGGAGGUUGGAGGUCGUGACUCCUCCUUUGCUGUCUUUCCCAGUGGAGUGUAGGCCCCUCCACAGCGGGGGCCAAGCUGUAGGCUGUGCAGAGCCCACGGCGGGCCCACCGGCAUUUGAUGAUGACAGGAAGCGCUCCUCACAUUCCACUGUAACUGCACGUCUUUCUUUGAGGGCAGACCUGCAGUUGGUUCAUUUCUAUAUCCUCAGCUUUUACUCUGAUCAAAGACCUGGCUCCACAUUCCAAAGGUGUGUGGGCUCUGAUUUCAGUGACCAGGUAGGCCUUUCCGUGACCUGGCCGGGAACGGGCUCCAAGGUCCAUCGCCCACGCUCCACAUGCGGUGUGGGGAGCACAGCAAGGUCUCCUACCCUGAGGGAAGGAAAGGGUUACAGCACUCACCUCUCAGGGCCCUCCCACUCCACCCCCUGCGACAGGUGAGACAGAUGAGGGUAGUGGGUGUGGUCCCAGCAGCCCUGGGGCCCCAAGGAGCCGGGCCUCUCCUUCCAGGUUUAGAUCUGGAACAGGGCCAUGGUUUUGUCCACAGUUCCAACAGGUGUAAUGGCAAUGUCAGGGGGUCACAGUGAGUGUCCUGGCUCCCCCGGCUGUGUUGAGACACAGAGCCAUGAGGCCCCCUUCUUCACAGGUCUCAUGGGUGUCGUGGUUCCUCCCUGAGGCAGCCAGGGGCUGGGCUGCUUGAACAUCAAUCCUUUCAAAUCAUAUCAUUAAAAUCUACUCCCACACCUGUA
Equus caballus (horse) is the source of this 1829-nucleotide long non-coding RNA. RefSeq lists it as uncharacterized. Lineage: Eukaryota; Metazoa; Chordata; Mammalia; Perissodactyla; Equidae. The record is from RefSeq and is a predicted model, not a curated record.